GAUAAACGCUGGCGGCGUGCCUAAUACAUGCAAGUCGAGCGAACGGACGAGAAGCUUGCUUCUCUGAUGUUAGCGGCGGACGGGUGAGUAACACGUGGAUAACCUACCUAUAAGACUGGGAUAACUUCGGGAAACCGGAGCUAAUACCGGAUAAUAUUUUGAACCGCAUGGUUCAAAAGUGAAAGACGGUCUUGCUGUCACUUAUAGAUGGAUCCGCGCUGCAUUAGCUAGUUGGUAAGGUAACGGCUUACCAAGGCAACGAUGCAUAGCCGACCUGAGAGGGUGAUCGGCCACACUGGAACUGAGACACGGUCCAGACUCCUACGGGAGGCAGCAGUAGGGAAUCUUCCGCAAUGGGCGAAAGCCUGACGGAGCAACGCCGCGUGAGUGAUGAAGGUCUUCGGAUCGUAAAACUCUGUUAUUAGGGAAGAACAUAUGUGUAAGUAACUGUGCACAUCUUGACGGUACCUAAUCAGAAAGCCACGGCUAACUACGUGCCAGCAGCCGCGGUAAUACGUAGGUGGCAAGCGUUAUCCGGAAUUAUUGGGCGUAAAGCGCGCGUAGGCGGUUUUUUAAGUCUGAUGUGAAAGCCCACGGCUCAACCGUGGAGGGUCAUUGGAAACUGGAAAACUUGAGUGCAGAAGAGGAAAGUGGAAUUCCAUGUGUAGCGGUGAAAUGCGCAGAGAUAUGGAGGAACACCAGUGGCGAAGGCGACUUUCUGGUCUGUAACUGACGCUGAUGUGCGAAAGCGUGGGGAUCAAACAGGAUUAGAUACCCUGGUAGUCCACGCCGUAAACGAUGAGUGCUAAGUGUUAGGGGGUUUCCGCCCCUUAGUGCUGCAGCUAACGCAUUAAGCACUCCGCCUGGGGAGUACGACCGCAAGGUUGAAACUCAAAGGAAUUGACGGGGACCCGCACAAGCGGUGGAGCAUGUGGUUUAAUUCGAAGCAACGCGAAGAACCUUACCAAAUCUUGACAUCCUUUGACAACUCUAGAGAUAGAGCCUUCCCCUUCGGGGGACAAAGUGACAGGUGGUGCAUGGUUGUCGUCAGCUCGUGUCGUGAGAUGUUGGGUUAAGUCCCGCAACGAGCGCAACCCUUAAGCUUAGUUGCCAUCAUUAAGUUGGGCACUCUAAGUUGACUGCCGGUGACAAACCGGAGGAAGGUGGGGAUGACGUCAAAUCAUCAUGCCCCUUAUGAUUUGGGCUACACACGUGCUACAAUGGACAAUACAAAGGGCAGCGAAACCGCGAGGUCAAGCAAAUCCCAUAAAGUUGUUCUCAGUUCGGAUUGUAGUCUGCAACUCGACUACAUGAAGCUGGAAUCGCUAGUAAUCGUAGAUCAGCGUGCUACGGUGAAUACGUUCCCGGGUCU
RNAcentral lists this ribosomal RNA (1372 nucleotides) under uncultured bacterium. RNAcentral describes it as "bacterial SSU rRNA". It matches the Rfam family "Bacterial small subunit ribosomal RNA", at positions 28 to 1381 of the family's 1533-position model. The record is from RNAcentral.